RNAcentral lists this long non-coding RNA (1407 nucleotides) under Anas platyrhynchos platyrhynchos (common mallard). RNAcentral's name for it is "lncRNA (ENSAPLG00000028883.1)". Lineage: Eukaryota; Metazoa; Chordata; Aves; Anseriformes; Anatidae. The record is from RNAcentral.
CAACCACACACAAUCCUCUCAUACUUAGCGAUGAAGCCCAUUCGUUUUCUUUCCAUGCGAUUUCAUCUGGGGUUCCUCGGACGUUGUUGCCCUCCCCUUCGGUGUGCUGCCUGCCUUGCUGUGGUUUCUGGGGUAUUGUGCCCUGCUUUGUAUGCUCGCCCGCUCUGGGUACGGCAUCAGCGCUCCGUUUAAAAGUUAAUUUGGCUUAUCAAACUCUUCGAGGUGGAGUAGUGAGGAAGUGGUGAAGAAUGUUAAUGUUUCUUUUGUUUCAAGGCUUCUGAAAUAAAGAUAUCAAAUGCCUAUCGGUUUCUAGUAGUCCGCCUAGUAAGUAAAUUAAAUGUAGUCAUUGGAAUGAGCCUUUAUGGCACUUUCAACAAUCUGUAAUUCAAUCAUCUCUGAUACAAGCUGCCUUUUGCUAUUAUUCAUCAGACCCAGCUGAGUGAUUUCUGUCAGAUGGGAAGUGGUAGAGAGAAAUCUCUAGGUAAAUGUAACUGAAAAGCUUUGCAAGUGGAGUCCUAAAUGAGCACAGAAAAGCACUUGGCCACAAUCUGGAGACAGAUGUUAGCAUCCAAAUAAAUCAUUUCUUCUGAUUGUCAGGGGGAUGUCAAGUCUCAUUUUCCUUAUUUAGUAGCCAUUUGCAAGUGAAGAACAGGGAGCUCCGUGUUUAUGACCUUGUAAACUCAAUGCAGAAUGCUGUAAUUCAAUAGUAUUUCACUCUGAAAUACUAUUUUCCGUACAAAGGUCAGUACAGUAAUUCUAGAUGCAUGUACGUGUUGUAGACCACAGCAAGGCUACUGGAUCAGCAACGGCAGUAUUGAUCCUUUGAGCGCUAUGUAAUGUGCCAUCCGUGUUCGGCGUUAAUCUAUUGCGUGCUGUUUGAACUGCUUUGUUGUCUGAGAGAGUUCUUUCGUCCUGAGAAACAGCAGACAAUAGUUGGAGAUGCAAGAGGAGACUCCUUUCCCUGGCGAUUCUUUAUUGAGCAUUUUUUAGGUAGUGAAUAUACCUCAGCUAGCAAAAAGCUGAAGAUUUGUGUGUUAGUGGUGAAGAGGUGAGAAUGAUAUCAUGUUCUCUGGCUUCUGACACUGUGUCCCGGCUCCAUGUCAUCACUGGCUGUGGAUGAUGGUGUCAGCCUUGCACAUCCUGUGCAAGUCGUAGUAUUUUAACUACUCAGAAUUUUUGGAACUCUUACUGUUUGAAUUGUGAACCUUUAAAUGAAAAAUAUGUGUCCUAAAAACACAUGAUAGAAAUUAAUAGUAAAACAAGUAGUUGCCUCAUCAGUCCGGUGGCCUGUGUUACACCUGGGUACUUACAACAGCAUACAGCACAAGGACAGGUUUUUCUCGGCCUACUGAAGAGAUGGACAAGAAGUGGAAGUAUGUGGGUAAUAAAGACAAAGACUGUUUAGAA